GAUGAAGAACGCAGCGAAAUGCGAUAAGUAGUGUGAAUUGCAGAAUUCAGUGAAUCAUCGAAUCUUUGAACGCACAUUGCGCCCUCUGGUAUUCCGGGGGGCAUGCCUGUUCGAGCGUCAUUAUAACCACUCAAGCUCUCGCUUGGUAUUGGGGCUCGCGGUUCCGCGGCCCCUAAAAUCAGUGGCGGUGCCUGUCGGCUCUACGCGUAGUAAUACUCCUCGCGAUUGAGUCCGGUAGGUCUACUUGCCAGCAACCCCCAAUUUUUACAGGUUGACCUCGGAUCAGGUAGGGAUACCCGCUGAACUUAAGCAUAUCAAUAAGCGGAGGA
This 329-nucleotide unclassified non-coding RNA is filed under the name soil metagenome. RNAcentral describes it as "partial contains 5.8S ribosomal RNA, internal transcribed spacer 2, and large subunit ribosomal RNA". The stretch from base 1 to 120 matches the Rfam family "5.8S ribosomal RNA", at positions 35 to 154 of the family's 154-position model. The record is from RNAcentral.